Molecule: long non-coding RNA, 292 nt
Filed under: Malus domestica (apple)
Lineage: Eukaryota; Viridiplantae; Streptophyta; Magnoliopsida; Rosales; Rosaceae
Description: long non-coding RNA (MDOM_LNC012674)
Source: RNAcentral
GAUUGCUUUAAACCAAUUUAACCGAUUAAUCACGCAAGACUAUAUUAAACAAACAAAUGAUAGAUUGAAUUGAAUAAUUGAUUAAGACUAUAAUUAACAAGAAAAAGAAAAGAUAAUUAAUUAAUAUAAACACAUGACAAGAAAACCUAAGGUUAUGAAUUUGCCAAUAACAAUCUUAUCUUUCCAAGCAUAUAUUGUGACAACUCGUCCCUAGUUCUACAAUUUUAUAAAUUUUAAAGGUGGAAAUUUACGAAAAUACCCUGAGAGGCGAGGGUAUUGACUUACGUUGACC